Molecule: transfer RNA, 68 nt
Filed under: Loxodonta africana (African savanna elephant)
Lineage: Eukaryota; Metazoa; Chordata; Mammalia; Proboscidea; Elephantidae
Rfam family: tRNA
About the family: Transfer RNA (tRNA) molecules are approximately 80 nucleotides in length.
Source: Rfam by way of RNAcentral
ACAGUGGUUCAGUAGUAGAAUUCUUGUCUUCCACGUAGGAGGCCCGGGUUUGACUCCCGGCCAAUGUA